RNAcentral lists this ribosomal RNA (484 nucleotides) under uncultured bacterium. RNAcentral's name for it is "partial 16S ribosomal RNA". It matches the Rfam family "Bacterial small subunit ribosomal RNA", at positions 28 to 523 of the family's 1533-position model. The record is from RNAcentral.
AAUGAACGUUGGCGGCGUGGAUUAGGCAUGCAAGUCGUGCGAGAAGGUGGCUUCGGCCACCGGACAGCGGCGAACGGGGUAGUAAGGCGUCGGGACGUGCCCACGGGCCCGGGAUAGCGGCGGGAAACUGCCGGUAAUACCGGAUGACCUCUCCGGAGCAAAGGUGUGACUCCGCCCGUGGAGCGGCCGACGUGGUACCAGGUAGUUGGUGAGGUAACGGCUCACCAAGCCGAAGACGCCUAGGGGGUGUGAGAGCAUGGCCCCCACCACUGGGACUGGGACACUGCCCAGACACCUACGGGUGGCUGCAGUCGAGAAUCUUCGGCAAUGGGCGCAAGCCUGACUGAGCGACGCCACGUGCGGGAUGACGGCCCUCGGGUUGUAAACCGCUGUCGGGGGGGAUGAAGUCACGAAGGGUACUCCCUUCGUGUUGACAGAGCCCCGGAGGAAGCGCGGGCUAAGUACGUGCCAGCAGCCGCCGCCG